Cyprinus carpio (common carp) is the source of this 450-nucleotide long non-coding RNA. The record is from Ensembl. NCBI's taxonomy places the organism in Eukaryota, Metazoa, Chordata, Actinopteri, Cypriniformes, Cyprinidae.
GUUUCAACACUCUGCUGACUUUCAAUUGAUCAGACAAAAUGAGUUCCACAAAAGAAAGGCAUACAAGUUUGAAAUGACAUGAAGUUGAAAAGUUAGCACAAUGAGAAAUUCUGUGGAUGGAAGGAAAUGCAUUGGAAGGCCACUGAAACGAAAUGAAGGAAGUCAGGAAGAUAAUGAAGUGCUUGCUGAGACGAAUGCUGUCAUCAUUUCUCAUGGACUGGUUUUACGAUAGUUUCUCAAAUGCAUGGUGAAGUUGCUGUGAAGUCCUUGUCUGAUAAAUUCUUCCUUGAGCUGAAACAUGAUUUUUCUGUUUGUGAGAUAUUCCUGAGUGGUAUUCAUUAUUUACAUUUAUGACUGUUUCACAUUUUGACAUUUUCUUUACCUGUAUAAUCACAAGCUCUUCAAUCUGAGACUGUGAUAAAUAUUCUACACUUGUAAGUUUCACUCUCA